Molecule: ribosomal RNA, 464 nt
Filed under: uncultured bacterium
Lineage: Bacteria
Description: partial 16S ribosomal RNA
Rfam family: Bacterial small subunit ribosomal RNA
Source: RNAcentral
UGCCAGACUCCUACGGGAGGCAGCAGUGAGGAAUAUUGGUCAAUGGGCGAGAGCCUGAACCAGCCAAGUCGCGUGAGGGAGUACUGCCCUAUGGGUUGUAAACCUCUUUUGUCGGGGAGCAAAAGCCGGACGUGUCCGGCUGUGAGAGUACCCGAAGAAAAAGCAUCGGCUAACUCCGUGCCAGCAGCCGCGGUAAUACGGAGGAUGCGAGCGUUAUCCGGAUUUAUUGGGUUUAAAGGGUGCGUAGGCGGUGCGUAAAGUCGGAGGAAAAGUGGGGGGCCACACCCCCUACCCGCCAUUGAAACAGGCGCUCUUGAGUGGAAGAGAAGUAUGCGGAAUGCGUGGUGUAGCGGUGAAAUGCAUAGAUAUCACGCAGAACCCCGAUUGCGAAGGCAGCAUGCCGGCUUCCGACUGACGCUGAAGCACGAAAGCGUGGGGAUCGAACAGGAUUAGAUACCCGUGUA